Molecule: ribosomal RNA, 467 nt
Filed under: uncultured bacterium
Lineage: Bacteria
Description: partial 16S ribosomal RNA
Rfam family: Bacterial small subunit ribosomal RNA
Source: RNAcentral
GAUGAACGCUGACAGCAUGCUUAACACAUGCAAGUCAACUUGAAUUUGGGUUCUUAACUUAGGUUUGGGUGGCGGACGGGUGAGUAACGCGUAAAGAACUUGCCUCACAGCUAGUGACAACAUUUGGAAACGAAUGCUAAUACCUAAUAUUAUUAUAAUAGGGCAUCCUAUAAUUAUGAAAGCUAUAAGCGCUGUGAGAGAGCUUUGCGUCCCAUUAGCUAGUUGGAGAGGUAACGGAUCACCAAGGCGAUGAUGGGUAGCCGGUCUGAGAGGGUGAUCGGCCACAAGGGGACUGAGACACGGCCCGUACGCCUACGGGAGGCAGCAGUGGGGAAUAGUGGACAAUGGACCGAGAGUCUGAUCCAGCAAUUCUGUGUGCACGAUGAAGUUUUUCGGAAUGUAAAGGGCUUUCAGUUGGGAAGAAACAAAUGACGGUACCAACAGAAGAAGUGACGGCUAAAUACGUG